AGAGUUUGAUCAUGGCUCAGAAUCAACGCUGGCGGCGUGCCUAACACAUGCAAGUCGAACGCGAAGACCCCGCAAGGGGUUUGUAGCGUGGCAAACGGGCGAGUAACGCGUGGGCGACCUGCCUUCGAGUGGGGGAUAACCUUCCGAAAGGAGGGCUAAUACCGCAUGACGUCCUGCUUUUGAACAAGCGGAGAUCAAAGCCGGGGAUCCGCAAGGACCAGGCGCUUAGAGAGGAGCCCGCGGCCGAUUAGCUAGUUGGUGAGGUAACGGCUCACCAAGGCGACGAUCGGUAUCCGGCCUGAGAGGGCGGACGGACACACUGGGACUGAGACACGGCCCAGACUCCUACGGGAGGCAGCAGUGGGGAAUUGUUCGCAAUGGGCGCAAGCCUGACGACGCAACGCCGCGUGGAGGACGAAGAUCUUCGGGUCGUAAACUCCUUUCGAUCGGGAAGAAUGGCUUCCGGGUUAACAGCCCGGAAGAGUGACGGUACCGAGAGAAGAAGCCCCGGCUAACUCUGUGCCAGCAGCGGCGGUAAUUC
This 541-nucleotide ribosomal RNA is filed under the name uncultured bacterium. Its description in RNAcentral is "bacterial SSU rRNA". It matches the Rfam family "Bacterial small subunit ribosomal RNA", at positions 8 to 526 of the family's 1533-position model. The record is from RNAcentral.